Molecule: long non-coding RNA, 715 nt
Organism: Marmota monax (woodchuck)
Lineage: Eukaryota; Metazoa; Chordata; Mammalia; Rodentia; Sciuridae
Exons: 2
Source: RefSeq, a predicted model, not a curated record
UCCCUGGCUUGGAGUUGUUUUUAUAACUCACUUAGUGCAGACCUUUGUCCCCUUGCCGGCUCCACUGGGAGUUUCUAAGGAGUGAGAAGCUCUUUGGAUCUUAGGAACUGAAUCUUAGAAUUUUAUUUUUCAUUUGCACGGUGGGGGCGGGUGACUGCACUGCCUGCACCCCACAACUCCCUACUCAGCGAAUAACGACUGUAGACACCACUGUACCAGGACUCGCUUGAACGCGAAUUAUUUUUCAUUAAUCCUCAAAAUGACCGAGCCAGUGCUGGGAUGGAACCCUGGAGCAUGGCGGUCCUGCCCUCUUAGCCCUUUCCUGCUUUCCAGAUGGGAAAAGGAAGUAAGCAAAAAAAUAAACAAGUCUGCACGAGGGUGACAAAGGAAGCCCGAGGAGGGCAGCCGGCAGAGGGUCCCCAGUCCUCCCCUGGGCAGGUCCCCUCCAGGCGUCCCGCUGAGCGCCUCUGGGGCCAGAACCCUCCCGCAGUCUGCAGAGGCGGGGGCUCCCCGUCUCCCGCUCCCCACAACUUGAAUUUUUAAUGUGGCUCCACAGAACAAAGCAGAGUUUCUGUUUCGAGAGCUCAAAACCCAUUUCUCAAGUCUGAGCGGCCCUGCGUGAAGAGGCCGCGGCCGGCAGGGCCUGGGCCGUGGGUCGUCCUCAGCUGUCCCCAGGCUCCUUCCCAAUCUUGUUUAAUUAAAAAGCAAAAAAGAG